This 732-nucleotide long non-coding RNA is filed under the name Homo sapiens (human). Its description in RNAcentral is "non-protein coding lnc-DRD5-10:4". Lineage: Eukaryota; Metazoa; Chordata; Mammalia; Primates; Hominidae. The record is from RNAcentral.
CUUUGUGCAAACCUGUCCCAUCUCAUGUGAGCUGGACUUGGUGACUAACUUCAGUCAAUAGAAUUAAACAGAAAUCACAUGCGUAAAAUAGAAACUAGGUCAUAAAAGUAGUAUGACAUCACCCGGAAUCUCUCUAUUGCUCUAGUUGUCAUGUCAAAAAACUACUUAGACAGACUAUGAAGAGAUACAUAGGGUGAGAAACGGAGGCCUUCAGCCAACAGCUGGGAGAAGCUGAGUCCCAUCAGCCAUUCAAAAGACUGCAGCCCCAGCCAAGAGUUUGAUGUAACCUCAGGAGAGACCCUGAGCCAGAACCACCUAGAAAUCUCCAAGUGAGAAGACCUUACUUGUCUUCUGAAAGUCUGAAAAGCUGGGAUACAUGAAGACUGCCAUCCCUUGAGUCACUUGCCCUGUAGCUGCCACUGUUGGAAAAGGGCUUGCUUCUGUGUCCUUGUGCCCACUUUGAAAAUCCCUGGGAAGUCCUUGGAGUCAGAUGAGCAGGCCUCCGCCACUCUGCCAAAAAGUCUGUUCAAUCAGGAGUCCCCAACCCCUGAGCCAUGGACUGAUAUGGAGCUAUGGUCUGUUAGGAACUGGGCUGCCCAGGAGGAGCAAUGGUGCUUCUACAAUUUCCUUAUAGGAGGAGUGAAGAGUAAGCAUUUGGAUUGGACCAGGAUUUGGAGAACUUGUCAUGUUGCUCUACGUGCAUAUGAAAUACAUCAUUGUAACUUAGAAUGU